CGAAGCAUUUUCCGGGUUAGCUGCAGCAUCGUGGGCAGCUGGUGCCUUUGUUUGGCGUGGCGAUCGACGAGGGUCAUAUUACCACUCAGCGUGGCUGACCACUGGUCCAGGGGCGGACGGACUGCUCUGCUGGAGGCCCGCUGUCGCGUGGUUGUCUGUCGACUUGCUUUCGCCCGUUUAUUACUCCCGUCCUCCACAGUGAGGUCGCACUGUGGCACAGCUUGAGGGUAUGUACCAUGCUAAAUUCGCUAUACAACUAUUAUUUAGCGUUUCAUGGACAAUUUUUAUUUGUUUGUGCUAAUUUUGUUAUUGUUUUCAGCUACCGAUCCAAGAUCGGCUGCUGCUUUGGCUCGGCUCUGUUUUGUGUGUGUGUUUGCUCCCUCUCACGGGGUUACGUCGUUGGCCAGCCGCCGGAGCUGCGAGCCGCUAACCCGCGGCGAUAAGGACCGGCUCUGUCCCCGCAGGCAGUGCGUGGCCGGACCCCAUACCCCGGAGGCCGGCCCUAUACUAAAGAAGCGCCUGCAGAGUGGGAAUCUGCUUUUAAGUUGUUUAGUCAUUCGAGAGUUGCCUUGAGUUAUUGUUUUGUUUUGUUUGAGCGAAUUGUUAUUGGUUUGUUGUUUUUCAAUUAUAUUUAUUUAGAGAGAUGCACCAGGGGUCAAGUGGCUGGUAGUUUUUAACCUUUCCCUUCCUCUCUCUGGACAGGUGCUGAGGCCCCCGGCAGCAGCCCGGUUUCCUGGUGGUGGUGUUUCCUUCACGUUCCCUUCUUGGUUGGUGUGCAGUGACACGGGUGCAUAGUUUGAGGACUUUUGUUUUUCCCUUUUUUUACUCCCCUGCUGCCACGGUAAGCCCCAGCCCUGUCCGACUGUUGCCCCUCUACCAGCCCUUUUUAAAAACAGUGAUGUGACUUUGCCCUGGUGCU
This is a long non-coding RNA of Myripristis murdjan (pinecone soldierfish), 919 nucleotides long. RefSeq lists it as uncharacterized. The transcript has 3 exons. The record is from RefSeq and is a predicted model, not a curated record. NCBI's taxonomy places the organism in Eukaryota, Metazoa, Chordata, Actinopteri, Holocentriformes, Holocentridae.